This 468-nucleotide ribosomal RNA is filed under the name uncultured bacterium. RNAcentral's name for it is "partial 16S ribosomal RNA". It matches the Rfam family "Bacterial small subunit ribosomal RNA", at positions 28 to 507 of the family's 1533-position model. The record is from RNAcentral.
GACGAACGCUGGCGGCGUGCUUAACACAUGCAAGUCGAACGGAAAGGCCCUGCUCUUGUGGGGUGCUCGAGUGGCGAACGGGUGAGUAACACGUGAGUAACCUGCCCUUGACUUUGGGAUAACUUCAGGAAAAUGGGGCUAAUACCGGAUAGGAGCUCCUGCUGCAUGGUGGGGGAUGGAGAGUUUCGGCGGUUGGGGAUGGACUCGCGGCUUAUCAGCUUGUUGGUGGGGUAGGGGCUUACCAAGGCUUUGACGGAUAGCCGGCCUGAGAGGGUGACCGGCCACAUUGGGACUGAGAGACGGCCCAGUCUCCAACGGGAGGCAGCAGGGGAGAAUAUUGCGGAAUGGGCGGAAGCGUGAUGCAGCAACGCCGCGUUCGGGAUGACGGCCUUCGGGUUGUAAACCGCUUUCGCCUGUGACGAAGCGUGAGUGACGGUAAUGGGUAAAGAAGCACCGGCUAACUACGUG